RNAcentral lists this ribosomal RNA (878 nucleotides) under uncultured bacterium. RNAcentral describes it as "bacterial SSU rRNA". It matches the Rfam family "Bacterial small subunit ribosomal RNA", at positions 76 to 930 of the family's 1533-position model. The record is from RNAcentral.
GGCUUCGGCCCUAGUACCGCGGCAGACGGGUGAGUAACACGUGAGUAACCUGUCCUCAGGUCUGGGAUAACCAUCCGAAAGGGUGGCUAAUACCGGAUAUAGUCACUGGACACAAGUUCAGUGAUGAAAGGAGGCCUCUGCAUAGCAAGCUUCUGCCUGAGGAGGGGCUCGCGGCCCAUCAGCUUGUUGGUGGGGUAACGGCCUACCAAGGCUAUGACGGGUAGCCGGCCUGAGAGGGUGGUCGGCCACACGGGCACUGAGACACGGGCCCGACUCCUACGGGAGGCAGCAGUGGGGAAUCUUGGGCAAUGGGCGAAAGCCUGACCCAGCGACGCCGCGUGGGGGACGAAGGCCUUCGGGUCGUAAACCCCUGUUCUGGGGGAAGAACCAGGCUGUAGUGAAUAGCUAUAGCCUGCUGACGGUACCCCAGGAGAAAGCCACGGCUAACUGCGUGCCAGCAGCCGCGGUAAUACGCAGGUGGCGAGCGUUGCCCGGAAUCACUGGGCGUAAAGGGUGCGUAGGCGGCAGAGCAAGUCGCAGGUCAAAUCCCGGGGCUCAACCCCGGAAGGGCCUGCGAUACUGUUCUGCUUGAGGGCCGGAGAGGCUGGCGGAAUUCCCGGUGUAGGGGUGAAAUCCGUAGAUAUCGGGAGGAACACCGGUGGGGAAGCCUGCCAGCUGGACGGUUCCUGACGCUGAGGCACGAAAGCGUGGGGAGCAAACCGGAUUAGAUACCCGGGUAGUCCACGCCGUAAACGAUGGGUGCUGGGUCUGGGGGAGGAAACUCUCUGGGCCGUAGCUAACGCGUUAAGCACCCCGCCUGGGGGAGUACGGCCGCAAGGCUGAAACUCAAAAGGAAUUGACGGGGGGCCCGCACAAGC